RNAcentral lists this ribosomal RNA (495 nucleotides) under uncultured bacterium. Its description in RNAcentral is "partial 16S ribosomal RNA". It matches the Rfam family "Bacterial small subunit ribosomal RNA", at positions 28 to 505 of the family's 1533-position model. The record is from RNAcentral.
GAUGAACGCUGGCGGCGUGCCUAAUACAUGCAAGUCGAGCGAACAGACGAGGAGCUUGCUCCUCUGACGUUAGCGGCGGACGGGUGAGUAACACGUGGAUAACCUACCUAUAAGACUGGGAUAACUUCGGGAAACCGGAGCUAAUACCGGAUAAUAUAUUGAACCGCAUGGUUCAAUAGUGAAAGACGGUUUUGCUGUCACUUAUAGAUGGAUCCGCGCCGCAUUAGCUAGUUGGUAAGGUAACGGCUUACCAAGGCAACGAUGCGUAGCCGACCUGAGAGGGUGAACGGCCACGCUGGAACUGAGACACGGUCCAGACUCCUACGGGAGGCAGCAGUAGGAAAUCUUCCGCAAUGGGCGAAAGCCUGACGGAGCAACGCCGCGUGAGUGAUGAAGGUCUUCGGAUCGUAAAACUCUGUUAUUAGGGAAGAACAAAUGUGUAAGUAACUAUGCACGUCGUGACGGUACCUAAUCAGAGAGCCACGGCUAACCACG